This 77-nucleotide transfer RNA is filed under the name Rhizobium rosettiformans W3. Its description in RNAcentral is "tRNA-Glu". It matches the Rfam family "tRNA". Rfam says of the family: Transfer RNA (tRNA) molecules are approximately 80 nucleotides in length. The record is from RNAcentral. RNAcentral also lists the same sequence under 1 other name. Lineage: Bacteria; Pseudomonadati; Pseudomonadota; Alphaproteobacteria; Hyphomicrobiales; Rhizobiaceae.
GGCGCAUUCGUCUACGCUGGUUAGGAUACUAGGCUUUCACCCUGGAGAAACGGGAUCGACACCCGUAUGCGUCACCA